RNAcentral lists this long non-coding RNA (514 nucleotides) under Fukomys damarensis (Damara mole-rat). Its description in RNAcentral is "lncRNA (ENSFDAG00000027208.1)". The record is from RNAcentral. Lineage: Eukaryota; Metazoa; Chordata; Mammalia; Rodentia; Bathyergidae.
UUCUCUCCGGUUUCUCUUACUGUCUGAUUUGAAUUUCUUUUUUCAUGCCAUUUUAAGCUUAGUCUUUCUCUCUGCAACACAAACCUUUAUUCCAGGUUAAAGGAAUGCCAGGCCUGGGUGAGCACAAGCCAGAAACAUUUCAGGAUGCAGGGAGCCUUCUCAGCAAACCUGCCCUUGGUCCUACCUUGAACGCCAGUCAAACCAGCACAGUCUGAACCCUGGUCCCAGAAGCACCAGCAGCAGUCUUGUGAGACCCUGUAUUCCCACUCUAGGCCCAGGUGUGACAAUCACAGCUCCCAAACUGUUUCCUAACUGUGCCUGUAACCAAGCCCAAGUUGCAGAGAACUGCAGUUAAACCUGGUAAAGCUCAAAAACCACUCUUUAUCGUGCUUCGUGCGGACGGUUCUGUUUCAGUUUUAGUUCGCUUUAUACUCCACGUUCCUCUCCAAGUCCUCUCACCUCCUCCUCGGAAGAAAAUAUUAGUCUCGCUAUUUUCACACUUCCAGGGCCCGGG